RNAcentral lists this ribosomal RNA (254 nucleotides) under uncultured bacterium. RNAcentral's name for it is "partial 16S ribosomal RNA". It matches the Rfam family "Bacterial small subunit ribosomal RNA", at positions 99 to 354 of the family's 1533-position model. The record is from RNAcentral.
CGGACGGGUGAGUAACGCGUGAGGAACCUGCCUCAGAGUGGGGAUAACACACCGAAAGGUGUGCUAAUACCGCAUAACAUAUGGGAGGGGCAUCCCUUUCAUAUCAAAGAUUUAUUGCUCUGAGAUGGCCUCGCGUCCAAUUAGCUAGUUGGCGGGGUAACGGCCCACCAAGGCGACGAUUGGUAGCCGGACUGAGAGGUUGAACGGCCACAUUGGGACUGAGACACGGCCCAGACUCCUACGGGAGGCAGCAG